UAACCCCUUAUCACCUUUUUAUAUUCAAACGUAAAUUUUUUAUCCGAAAAUAGUAAUUUUCAAAUACCUGAAAUAAGUUGGUAUAAUUAUUCCCACCAACACUUCUAUUUUUUAUAUAUAACUACCCACUAUUUUUCUUAUUCCAUAUUAUUUAUCCAAACAUUAUUUUUUUUAUCUCCGGAAACAACCCAAUUUUCAUCCAAAUACUAUUUUUCUUAUCCCCAUACUUGUAUCUGUUCCUGUAAUAACUAGUUCUUACUUAUACCCGAACCAAACAAAGCAUUAGGGUUUGUUUG
RNAcentral lists this long non-coding RNA (296 nucleotides) under Ananas comosus (pineapple). RNAcentral describes it as "long non-coding RNA (ACOM_LNC031839)". The record is from RNAcentral. Lineage: Eukaryota; Viridiplantae; Streptophyta; Magnoliopsida; Poales; Bromeliaceae.